UNUGACUUGAGUGCAGAAGGGGAGAGUGGAAUUCCAUGUGUAGCGGUGAAAUGCGUAGAUAUAUGGAGGAACACCAGUGGCGAAAGCGGCUCUCUGGUCUGUCACUGACGCUGAGGCUNGAAAGCGUGGGUAGCGAACAGGAUUAGAUACCCUGGUAGUCCACGCCGUAAACGAUGAGUGCUAGGUGUUAGGCCCUUUCCGGGGCUUAGUGCCGGAGCUAACGCAAUAAGCACUCCGCCUGGGGAGUACGACCGCAAGGUUGAAACUCAAAGGAAUUGACGGGGGCCCGCACAAGCGGUGGAGCAUGUGGUUUAAUUCGAAGCAACGCGAAGAACCUUACUAGGUCUUGACAUCCCGAUGCUAUUCUUAGAGAUAGGAAGUUACUUCGGUACAUCGGAGACAGGUGGUGCAUGGUUGUCGUCAGCUCGUGUCGUGAGAUGUUGGGUUAAGUCCCGCAACGAGCGCAACCCUUAUUGUUAGUUGCCAUCAUUAAGUUGGGCACUCUAGCGAGACUGCCGGUAAUAAACCGGAGGAAGGUGGGGAUGACGUCAAAUCAUCAUGCCCCUUAUGACCUGGGCUACACACGUGCUACAAUGGUCGGUACAACGAGUUGCGAGCCGGUGACAGCAAGCUAAUCUCUGAAAGCCGAUCUCAGUUCGGAUUGGAGGCUGCAACUCGCCUCCAUGAAGUCGGAAUCGCUAGUAAUCGCGGAUCAGCACGCUGCGGUGAAUACGUUCCCGGGCCUUGUACACACCGCCCGUCACACCACGAGAGUUUGUAACACCCGAAGUC
RNAcentral lists this ribosomal RNA (792 nucleotides) under uncultured bacterium. RNAcentral describes it as "bacterial SSU rRNA". It matches the Rfam family "Bacterial small subunit ribosomal RNA", at positions 636 to 1428 of the family's 1533-position model. The record is from RNAcentral.